This 535-nucleotide ribosomal RNA is filed under the name uncultured bacterium. Its description in RNAcentral is "bacterial SSU rRNA". It matches the Rfam family "Bacterial small subunit ribosomal RNA", at positions 331 to 856 of the family's 1533-position model. The record is from RNAcentral.
CCAGACUCCUACGGGAGGCAGCAGUAGGGAAUCUUCGGCAAUGGACGAAAGUCUGACCGAGCAACGCCGCGUGAGUGAAGAAGGUUUUCGGAUCGUAAAACUCUGUUGUUAGAGAAGAACAAGGAUGAGAGUAAAACGUUCAUCCCUUGACGGUAUCUAACCAGAAAGCCACGGCUAACUACGUGCCAGCAGCCGCGGUAAUACGUAGGUGGCAAGCGUUGUCCGGAUUUAUUGGGCGUAAAGCGAGCGCAGGCGGUUUCUUAAGUUUGAUGUGAAAGCCCCCGGCUCAACCGGGGAGGGUCAUUGGAAACUGGGAGACUUGAGUGCAGAAGAGGAGAGUGGAAUUCCAUGUGUAGCGGUGAAAUGCGUAGAUAUAUGGAGGAACACCAGUGGCGAAGGCGGCUCUCUGGUCUGUAACUGACGCUGAGGCUCGAAAGCGUGGGGAGCGAACAGGAUUAGAUACCCUGGUAGUCCACGCCGUAAACGAUGAGUGCUAAGUGUUGGAGGGUUUCCGCCCUUCAGUGCUGCAGCAAAC